RNAcentral lists this ribosomal RNA (496 nucleotides) under uncultured bacterium. RNAcentral describes it as "partial 16S ribosomal RNA". It matches the Rfam family "Bacterial small subunit ribosomal RNA", at positions 28 to 507 of the family's 1533-position model. The record is from RNAcentral.
GACGAACGCUGGCGGCGUGCCUAAUACAUGCAAGUUGAGCGCUGAAGGUUGGUACUUGUACCAACUGGAUGAGCAGCGAACGGGUGAGUAACGCGUGGGGAAUCUGCCUUUGAGCGGGGGACAACAUUUGGAAACGAAUGCUAAUACCGCAUAAAAACUUUAAACACAAGUUUUAAGUUUGAAAGAUGCAAUUGCAUCACUCAAAGAUGAUCCCGCGUUGUAUUAGCUAGUUGGUGAGGUAAAGGCUCACCAAGGCGAUGAUACAUAGCCGACCUGAGAGGGGAUCGGCCACAUUGGGACUGAGACACGGCCCAAACUCCUACGGGAGGCAGCAGUAGGGAAUCUUCGGCAAUGGACGAAAGUCUGACCGGGCAACGCCGCGGGAGUGAAGAAGGUUUUCGGAUCGUAAAACUCUGUUGGUAGAGAAGAACGUUGGUGAGAGUGGAAAGCGCAUCAAGUGACGGUAACUACCCAGAAAGGGACGGCUAACUACGUG